This 253-nucleotide ribosomal RNA is filed under the name uncultured bacterium. RNAcentral describes it as "partial 16S ribosomal RNA". It matches the Rfam family "Bacterial small subunit ribosomal RNA", at positions 524 to 776 of the family's 1533-position model. The record is from RNAcentral.
UACGAAGGGGGCUAGCGUUGUUCGGAAUUACUGGGCGUAAAGCGCGCGUAGGCGGCUAUCCAAGUCAGUGGUGAAAGCCCGGAGCUCAACUCCGGAACUGCCAUUGAAACUGUUUAGCUUGAGGACGAGAGAGGUGAGUGGAAUUCCCAGUGUAGAGGUGAAAUUCGUAGAUAUUGGGAAGAACACCGGUGGCGAAGGCGGCUCACUGGCUCGUAUCUGACGCUCAGGCGCGACAGCGUGGGGAGCAAACAGG